RNAcentral lists this unclassified non-coding RNA (592 nucleotides) under Hevea brasiliensis (rubber tree). Lineage: Eukaryota; Viridiplantae; Streptophyta; Magnoliopsida; Malpighiales; Euphorbiaceae. The record is from RNAcentral.
AAGCAAUGAGGUGCUUAGUGGCUAUCUUGAAGUCUUUGGGAGAUUGGAUGAACAAACAUUUGCGUAUUGCAGAUCCUCUUUCAACCAAAAAGUAUGAGGCAUCUGACAGUAACUCUGAACCUGGAAUUCUUCCCAUUACAAAUGGCAUUGAGGAUGAGCCUACUGAAGUAUCAGAUUCUCAUUCUGAAUCCUCUAGUGAAGUUUCUGAUGUUUCUACAAUUGAGCAGCGCCGCGCUUACAAGCUUGAACUUCAGGAAGGUAUAUCUCUGUUUAAUAGGAAACCCAAGAAAGGCAUUGAAUUCCUGAUAAAUGCUAAUAAAGUGGGGAACUCACCAGAGGAAAUUGCGGCAUUUCUUAAAGAUGCCUCUGGUUUGAAUAAGACCUUAAUAGGUGAUUACCUGGGGGAAAGGGAUGACUUACCAUUGAAAGUAAUGCAUGCGUAUGUGGAUUCCUUUGAUUUCCAAGGGAAGGAGUUUGAUGAGGCCAUCAGGGCCUUUCUACAAGGAUUCAGAUUGCCUGGCGAGGCACAGAAGAUUGAUCGAAUCAUGGAGAAGUUUGCUGAACGGUACUGUAAAUGCAAUCCAAAAGUUUU